UUGCAGGCUUGACCAGCAAGGCAUAGUCUCUGUGAUUCUGGCCUUUCCUGUAACGCCUGCUAGAGAGACUGAGGUGGUUUGAGGCCUGCUGUGGUGCCCUUCACAGCAUGGUUAUAUAAUCUUCAGACAUUU
Puntigrus tetrazona (Sumatra barb) is the source of this 132-nucleotide small nucleolar RNA. RefSeq annotates it as small nucleolar RNA SNORA9. The record is from RefSeq and is a predicted model, not a curated record. Lineage: Eukaryota; Metazoa; Chordata; Actinopteri; Cypriniformes; Cyprinidae. The transcript has a single exon.